AUUGAACGCUGGCGGCAGGCCUAACACAUGCAAGUCGAACGGUAGCACAGAGAGCUUGCUCUCGGGUGACGAGUGGCGGACGGGUGAGUAACGUCUGGGAAACUGCCCGAUGGAGGGGGAUAACUACUGGAAACGGUAGCUAAUACCGCAUAACGUCGCAAGACCAAAGUGGGGGACCUUCGGGCCUCACACCAUCGGAUGUGCCCAGAUGGGAUUAGCUAGUAGGUGGGGGUAAUGGCUCACCUAGGCGACGAUCCCUAGCUGGUCUGAGAGGAGGGCCAGCCACACUGGAACUGAGACACGGUGCAGACUCCUACGGGAGGCAGCAGUGGGGAAUAUUGCACGAUGGGCGCAAGCCUGAUGCAGCCAUGCCGCGUGUAUGAAGAAGGCCUUCGGGUUGUAAAGUACUUUCAGCGGGGAGGAAGGCGGUGAAGUUAAUAACUUCACCGAUUGACGUUACCCGCAGAAGAAGCACCGGCUAACUCCGUGCCAGCCGCCGCCGUAA
Molecule: ribosomal RNA, 505 nt
Filed under: uncultured bacterium
Lineage: Bacteria
Description: partial 16S ribosomal RNA
Rfam family: Bacterial small subunit ribosomal RNA
Source: RNAcentral